RNAcentral lists this ribosomal RNA (374 nucleotides) under uncultured organism. Its description in RNAcentral is "partial 16S ribosomal RNA". It matches the Rfam family "Bacterial small subunit ribosomal RNA", at positions 527 to 896 of the family's 1533-position model. The record is from RNAcentral.
GUAGGGAGCAAGCGUUGUUCGGAAUUAUUGGGCGUAAAGAGCGCGUAGGCGGCUUGGCAAGUCUGGUGUGAAAUCUCACAGCUCAACUGUGAAACUGCAUCAGAAACUGCCAGGCUUGAGUGCGGGAGAGGAAAGUGGAAUUCCCAGUGUAGAGGUGAAAUUCGUAGAUACUGGGAGGAACACCGGUGGCGAAGGCGGCUUUCUGGACCGCAACUGACGCUGAGGCGCGAAAGCUAGGGGGGAGCAAACGGGAUUAGAUACCCCGGUAGUCCUAGCCGUAAACGAUGGGCACUAGGUGUAGGGGGGUAUUGACCCCUUCUGUGCCGCAGCUAACGCAUUAAGUGCCCCCGCCUGGGAGUACGGUCGCAAGACUA